Molecule: ribosomal RNA, 154 nt
Filed under: Piloderma sp. O26
Lineage: Eukaryota; Fungi; Basidiomycota; Agaricomycetes; Atheliales; Atheliaceae
Also listed under: 2 other names
Description: 5.8S ribosomal RNA
Rfam family: 5.8S ribosomal RNA
About the family: 5.8S ribosomal RNA (5.8S rRNA) is a component of the large subunit of the eukaryotic ribosome. It is transcribed by RNA polymerase I as part of the 45S precursor that also contains 18S and 28S rRNA.
Source: RNAcentral
AACUUUCAACAACGGAUCUCUUGGCUCUCGCAUCGAUGAAGAACGCAGCGAAAUGCGAUAAGUAAUGUGAAUUGCAGAUUUUCAGUGAAUCAUCGAAUCUUUGAACGCACCUUGCGCUCCUUGGUAUUCCGAGGAGCAUGCCUGUUUGAGUGUC